CUCGACGUGUCGUGAGAUGUUGGGUUAAGUCCCGUAACGAGCGCAACCCUUGAACUUAGUUGCCAGCAUUCAGUUGGGCACUCUAAGUUGACUGCCGGUGACAAACCGGUGGAAGGUGGGGAUGACGUCAAAUCAUCAUGCCCCUUAUGACCUGGGCUACACACGUACUACAAUGGCCGGUACAACGGGAAGCAACUGAGCGAGAUGGAGCCAAUCCUAAGAAAGCCGGUCUCAGUUCGGAUUGCAGGCUGCAACCCGCCUGCAUGAAGUCGGAAUUGCUAGUAAUCGCGGAUCAGCAUGCCGCGGUGAAGCAUUUCCCGGGUCUUGUACACACCGCCCGUCACACCACGAGAGUUUACAACACCCGAAGUCGGUCGGGUAACCGUAAGGAGCCAGCCGCCGAAGGUGGGGUAGAUGACCG
This 421-nucleotide ribosomal RNA is filed under the name Paenibacillus ehimensis. RNAcentral describes it as "bacterial SSU rRNA". It matches the Rfam family "Bacterial small subunit ribosomal RNA", at positions 1055 to 1477 of the family's 1533-position model. The record is from RNAcentral. Lineage: Bacteria; Bacillati; Bacillota; Bacilli; Caryophanales; Paenibacillaceae.